This is a long non-coding RNA of Solanum lycopersicum (tomato), 1453 nucleotides long. RefSeq lists it as uncharacterized. NCBI's taxonomy places the organism in Eukaryota, Viridiplantae, Streptophyta, Magnoliopsida, Solanales, Solanaceae. The record is from RefSeq and is a predicted model, not a curated record.
CAUUUUUGAGUCGCUACAUAUACAAAAAAAAAUGAUAUCUAGAAAUAAAAUUACUUUGUAAUGUAUGCAAUUUGUACUUCGUAAAAUAAUGCAUAGUUAGUUCUAAACAAAAAUCUUUGCUGGAAUGUAGUAUUAUUAUCAUAAGAGCAAAAAAUAUCGUUCUACUGUGGAGGUAAGAAAAUAAUCGCAACUUGAAGUUGAUCAAAAAUCCAUUGAAGUAAAAGAGGUAAGCUCUUACAUUGCUUUUCUGCAAGAGUGAUUUUCAUGACGACCUCCUAACUAUAUGACAUUAACUUUUAUUUUCAUGUUAAGAUGCAAAGACAUCUACAUUAUUCUUAUUAAUUGUUUUUAUUUAUCCAAAGGUUAGGGCUAUUAAAAAGCACUCCAUGAAAAUAAAAGCUAAACUUUCUAUAUUGAAAAGGAAAUUUGCAAAAAAGAAACAGAAAAGCAACAACCAUCGCAAAAGAGAGGUAAAAAAGUUUCUUGUAGAAGCAAUGAAAAACCGUAUGAAUAGGUAUGUCAAACAAAAAAACAAGGUAAGUUAAUAUUACGCUAGCUGUUUUAUACAAAAGAAAAAAAUGUAGAAAAUAUAUGAACUAUAAAUUUAUCAAUCUCAUCAUAGAAUUUUUUUUAUCAUUAUAAUCUUAUUUUGUAACGGAUUAACAACAAAUUAUCGAAAUAUAGUUGUUAGCUAUAAGAUAUUUGGUGAUUAAUGUUUUAGUUGCACUGUAUUUUUUUGGUCGUAAAUUUUUUAUACAUAUUUUUUACAUUCUCAUAACAAAAAAUAUUUUAAAAUGAAAGGAUAAUGUUGGAAUGUCAUAACAAGAUUCCUCCCCAAAAAAGAUAAAUAGAUUCUUCAAUCCUAGAGGGAAAGCUUGGAACAAAGGAGAAAGUAAGAAUAUUAUUCACACCAAAGGAAAAAUACAAGCGAGAAUGUUUUCGGAACAAAUUAUAUUGGUGUUGGCAUCACAAUGUUAAACUAAUUGUGGGAGGUCUAGUUGGCUACGAUAAAAAAAAGCUAGUAAUGGUGCAAAUGGUAGCAGCAAUGAAGGAGGGAGAUGUCGCAGAUUGAUAGUGGUAAAAUUUAUAUAUUACAACAUCGGUUUUCCAUGAAGUUGGUGGAGCUAGUACUGGUGAGUUUGGUGAUGUCAUGGGAUAUAUAGAGUGUCAUGGAUCCGGUGCAAGCAGUGGUGGAAAUGAAAGAAGGGUCCAACGACAUAGAUUCUCACACUCAUGGCUAGCUUCUUUGUCAUUCAAGGAGUGAAGAUUUGGUGAGUCCUCCUUGUGUUCGAGGAUGUCAUUACUUCUUUAGUUUAUGUAUUUUCGUUUGUGUUUUCGACUAUUGUGUGGGCUGCUCCCAAGAUUUUACUCAUGAUGUUUAGAUGUUUAGACACAAUGUUAUUAGACUUUCCAUUUAUUUUAUAAAGACUUCGAUUGGAUUGAAAAGUUUAAA